UUUGCUCUCAUUGCAAGUAGAGCUUCACCUUUCUUGUGCUGUAGGAAGAGUGAUUAAAGGCAGCUGAGAGAAGUUUAUCUUACUGUCUGAAAUAUUUUGCGAACCUUGCUUUUUUACUGCUGUGGAGGGGAUCUUUCAGAAAGCUGCUUUUUUCUUGGCUGGGAAGGAAGCGCUAAUGCUGUAUCGUGAGACCUUUCCCAGUCCAGACUUUGAAUGCAA
Tympanuchus pallidicinctus (lesser prairie-chicken) is the source of this 219-nucleotide long non-coding RNA. RefSeq lists it as uncharacterized. The transcript has 3 exons. The record is from RefSeq and is a predicted model, not a curated record. NCBI's taxonomy places the organism in Eukaryota, Metazoa, Chordata, Aves, Galliformes, Phasianidae.